Callithrix jacchus (white-tufted-ear marmoset) is the source of this 614-nucleotide long non-coding RNA. RefSeq lists it as uncharacterized. The record is from RefSeq and is a predicted model, not a curated record. Lineage: Eukaryota; Metazoa; Chordata; Mammalia; Primates; Cebidae.
CAGCUGCCUCCCUGAGGCCUGGCCAUGGGGGAGGGGGUGGAGCAAGGUCUGCCUUUAUGGCUGCCUCCCCACAGACACAGUGGCAGAGGAGUCCCCCUGCUCAGCACCCAGCUGUGGGCUCUGCACCCUGGCACCUCCCUCACCCCCGUGGCUGCGCCCAGGUCCCUGGAGCGGAAACAGCCUUGUGCCAUCCCAUAGGGAAGGCGUCCCGUCCCACCCACCCCCAUGGCCCUCCUCUCAAGAGCCUCAGCUGGGCCUCCAGCCUCCCUGGCAAUGACGUCAGGAGGCGGGGCCUGUGAGGGAUGACGAGGUCAUGAGGCUGCCACUCUCCUGAGGGGGUCAACGUCCUUCCACAAGAGGCUCCAGGGAGGUCCCUUGUCCCUUCCACCACGUGAGGACCUGAGAUGGUGCUGUCUAUAAACCAGGAAGUGAGUCCUCUCUGAACACGGACCGAGCUGGUGCCUUGAUCUUGAACUUGCAGCCUCGAGAGUGCAUGCGAGUGCAGCGCCACCUCUGAGCUGCUGCUCUGGGCUCACUGCCUAUGGGGAGACCUGCCUCACAAGGAGGGGCCCCUGUGCUGCUGCUAUGCACGGCUGCUUCAAUAAAAGCUCCUG